GGAACAAAACACAAAAGAAUCAAACCACAGUUGAUGAAGAUGAAGAUGAAGAUGAAGAUGAAGGUGAUGAUACAGUGAAGUAUGAAAAUGCUGGAGUCUCUUCUGCUUCGGUCUGAAUCCACUGAUCAGCAGCUUCAUCAACUCAACAGAAACGAGUCACUGCUGAUGUUAAAGCUCCAUCUUUUGCUGAUGUGACAGAUUAGAUCAGAGAAGAGCAGCACAGAGGAGGAUGAUGAUGAUGAUGAUGAUGAUGAUGAUGAUGAUGAUGAUGAUGAUGAUGAUGAUGAUGAUGAUGAUGAUGAUGAUGAUCUCUGUAUUUGAUCCUGUUCUGUACUGAUCCUGUGUCUGUGUUUAACAUUUAACAUCUGUGUUUUCACCUCUAAUGGUUUUUGUUUUGUCUUUAUUAAUAAAGGCUUAAACCACCAACACUGUGCAACAGGUGCUUGUUUGGUUCAGAAAAUGAAGAAGUUCAAAGUGAAAGGUGUCAGAAAACGUGUGUUUGUCACGCUGGCGUUUUAGAUUCAAACCCUUUUCAAACAGCUGCUGUGUCGUUUUAUUUACCUGCUCAAACAACGUAGAUGGUUCUGAAGUGAGUUUCAGUCAUUACAAAAUGAAAAUCAGUGUGAAACAAUGAGAAGAAGCAGGAAAUCAAAGUGAGAAGUUGCGUUUCCACACACAGGAAGCUGAAUCUGGUGCCUGAGAAGCAGCGGUUCAGAAGGAGAGACAUCGAUGGAUCAGACGUUUCUGUUAAUGAUCCUGAUGCUUCGGUUCACAGCCUCUGGACGACUUUCCUCCUUCACUGUCGCAGUCAGAGACGACGUGACUUUGUCUUGUGAAAACGCCAGCGCUGAUCAGGACCAAUGUCAGAACACGACGUGGCUCCUCCAGGAUCCAGGAAGCAGCAGGACAGACGCUGUGGUGGAACGUGGACGGACUGAAGCGUCCACAGCCCACAGACGGAGGCUGACGGAGAAGUGCUCUCUGCUCAUAGAGAAGGUCACAGUUCAGGAUGUGGGUCGUUACACGUGCACACGAGGAGCAGGAGCCUCUGAGGUUUAUCUGUCUGUUGUUCACAUGGAUGAGUAUGAAGCUGCUGAUGAGGUCUACGUCUACUGUUACGUGUCCACACACAAACACUGUGAGCCGUCAGUGAAGUGGCUUCAUCACAGUCAAGUGUUUACGAGUCACAGAGACGUGAAGGCGUCACACACUCUCUACUACGCUGUCGUGUCUCUUCUGGAUUCUCACCGUGUUCACGCAUCAGUCAUGAACUCGUUAACGUGUGAAGUCACUGAUUGUUUCACUAACGUUCAUCGGUUUCCAUUCAGACCUCCGGCCUCAGAUGAAAAUGUAACAUUCAAAGAGACAACAAUUGAAGACACAUCAAUUCAAAACACAACAUCAGCAUCAGACACAACAUUAGAAGAUAACGGUGAAUUUUUCUAUUUUUAACCUUUCGUU
Molecule: long non-coding RNA, 1461 nt
Filed under: Betta splendens (Siamese fighting fish)
Lineage: Eukaryota; Metazoa; Chordata; Actinopteri; Anabantiformes; Osphronemidae
Description: lncRNA (ENSBSLG00000024101.1)
Source: RNAcentral